Eurytemora carolleeae is the source of this 217-nucleotide long non-coding RNA. RefSeq lists it as uncharacterized. The record is from RefSeq and is a predicted model, not a curated record. The transcript is spliced from 3 exons. Lineage: Eukaryota; Metazoa; Arthropoda; Copepoda; Calanoida; Temoridae.
GAUAAAUAUAGAUAUACCUGUGUUUAUUCAGAAAUAUGAUGGAGGGGACACGAAGUAUUUUUAAGUUUAUUAAACAUGAAAAUAGACCAGCUUCAACCAAUAAACAGAUUACUGAAAAGAAAGCAGAAUAUGAAUCAGAUAGGGAGUCUUUAUCAUCUUCUUCCAGAACGGGAAGCUUUAGGGAUCAUUUAUUUUCAGACAUUGAUCGUCUUUUUCU